This 2346-nucleotide long non-coding RNA is filed under the name Arachis ipaensis. Its description in RNAcentral is "long non-coding RNA (AIPA_LNC000808)". Lineage: Eukaryota; Viridiplantae; Streptophyta; Magnoliopsida; Fabales; Fabaceae. The record is from RNAcentral.
AAGAAGAAUUAAUAACAUACAGCAAGAAGAAUAGGAAAUAAAGGAAUCGCACAAGCUAGGCAAACAAAAAGUAAUUCGAAUUAUGGAGGGAUCUUCAAAGACUAAUUUAUUGGAAGGAUAGAAGGCAUAUAUGGUUAUAGGUAUAUGUGGACCAGGCAGGAGUGAUUCCGGUUGCGGAUGGAAGAUAAAGGUAACUACGAAGAUUGAGUUGUGGGGCUUGCAGUUGCAACAGAAUGACGAUGAUGGGACCUGUCAGAUUGAGGAAGGCCUACGGGAUCAGAAACAGAAGCGACGAGCCUUCGGAUCUCAGAGCGGAGCUUAUAGAGAACGUGCCUCCAAGUGCCCCUAUCGUGGGAGCCAAGGAUCUGGGUUUCUUGCUUGUUCAUCUCAAGAUCUCUGGCGAAGACGGGCUUCCUGGAUAGGAUCCAAGCCCAUCCCCACUCCCACCAUUUCCUGAUGGAGGUGCCUGCAUAGUCACCCACCGACAAGAGCGACUUGGAUCUGGGGAGUGACCAAGACGAUGCAACAGCUGGGCCGCUGGGUUGGAUCCUCAGUGACAUGGAUGAGAGGCGUCUGCGAAUUGAUCCUGAUCCUUCAUGGAAGAGUUUACACUUUGUCUGCGACACUGGAAGCGACGCUUUGAAGCUCAUGAUCUCUCUCUGUAUGUGUGCCUCUCUACUACGUAAUGCUGAAGCCACCCCCACCACCACCACCUACGCCUAUUCCGCUGAAUUGAACCAGAUUCCUCUAAUGAGAAAGCACAAAGCAGCUAGCUAGGAUAUCAUGUGGCAAGGAGAAAAUAAAUCAUUAAACAUACAUAACAACUCUUGAGCGGUGAAAUGUAACCUUCACAGCUCCAUCACAGCCUGUUUUAUUCUGUUUGUGGGGUCAAUGACGUUUACGCCCGUCUCCCCCUCUCUUCGUUAGUUGCUUUGGUUUGGUUUAUGCGAAAUGUUAUAUUUACAAUUACAAUUUUGGUAAGGAAAAGUAUAGGUAACAAACAAGAUUUUUUAACAAUGGGCAAAUAAUGUGAAUUAAUAGGGUUAAAAGAGUAAAUUUAAUUAAUAACAUUAAAUUAGGAUGUAGUGUAUUUUCAUUUAAUUGGUAGUUGUUUAUAUUGUUCAAAAUUUUCAUUAUCCCCCUAUUAACGUUUAUCUAUAGUUUUCCAAAACUAAUUUAAAAUGUUUGAUAUUUUGAUAAUCAAAUUAAUAUGUAUAAGUGAUCUUUCAAAAAUCAUUUUAACUAUGAACUUUAUACGUAUAUGUUCUUAAAUUCUUACUAUAUCAUUGUUUUCUUUUUUAUAAUUAAUAACACUUGCUUUUAAAAAGAAUAAGUUAAAGUUAUAUUCUCCUCAACAAUAUAAUGUUGAAUCAUAUUGCUAAGUUGUUGUUGUUAUAAAGUUAUUGUUUACAAGAAAUAAGUACUUUCUUUUUGUUUAUUUUUUUGUUCAAUAUACAAUUGUAUCCACGGUUAUGUAAUUUAUCCAUAUCCUCAUCAAUGUAUGAUUAAAAGAAAUUUAAUUAUCAUUUGACAUUUACAGAAAUGCAUUUGUACAGAACUUCAAACUGUUGGAUUCUAGGCGCCGACAGAAACGAUAAAGUAAACAAAUAAAUUAAAAGACAUGAGAGGACGUGGGUGGACUUCAAUCAUCGGAAACGCGGUCCCAUAUUUAGGGGAAACGGAAAUAGAAAACCAUUAAUCUAAAGUCUAAACCCUUUACCCUUUCCAGCCAGUAAUAUUUUUAGAACUAGAUAACAACUAGCUAGGUUACACCAAAAAGAAAAGAAAAAGGAGAGAAAGACGAAACCAAACCGGCAAGCUAAGGUUGAAUGAUAGAAACGAGUUUGCAAUGAAAAAUCCUGUAACUGCAGUUUUGUUCAACAACUCCAUUAUACAACAGAUAAAUAUAAUGCAUAUAAUCUGGUACAGAGCUUUGUGUGAGCCAGAUAUUGGCCGGACAAGAAUGAAGAAACAGAGAAUUAUUAUACAUAGAUGAAGCGAAUGAUAAAAGAAAGAAGAAUUAAUAACAUACAGCAAGAAGAAUAGGAAAUAAAGGAAUCGCACAAGCUAGGCAAACAAAAAGUAAUUCGAAUUAUGGAGGGAUCUUCAAAGACUAAUUUAUUGGAAGGAUAGAAGGCAUAUAUGGUUAUAGGUAUAUGUGGACCAGGCAGGAGUGAUUCCGGUUGCGGAUGGAAGAUAAAGGUAACUACGAAGAUUGAGUUGUGGGGCUUGCAGUUGCAACAGAAUGACGAUGAUGGGACCUGUCAGAUUGAGGAAGGCCUACGGGAUCAGAAACAGAAGCGACGAGCCUUCGGAUCUCAGAGCGGAGCUUAUAGAGAACGUGCC